GCUGCAUGGCCUACCCAUAGCGGCGGUGGGAGCCUCCGCCGGGGAGAGCCCGCUCGGGGGCAGGAAGUGGCCCGGCCCUCCUCGUGGAGGGCGUUUCCGGAGCGCCUACUGUGCUCCUUGCCGGGGUGGGGGUCGUUACCGAGUGGGAACUUCUGCAAAUCCUGACUUUUGUCACUUCGCGCCCCGCACAAGAUGUCCUGCCGGCGGUGCGAUUGGUCCCGUUGCUUCGAGGGGAAACUGAGGCCACUUAGUCCGGGCACUUACCCGCAGCUAGUUAAGGACUAGGCUCUGAUGGAGACGCUUGUUACGACCUCAAUGGCCUGUAGAAUCUGGGAGGCCGCCUCCGACCUAAGCCCAAAAAGCACAUGAUCGGGCUCACAGGGGGCGGCCAGAGGUGAAAACAGCCAACGCUUUACAACGACGCUGUGCGGGGCACUUCGUGUGUGUCAUCCCGUCUCAUCCUCGGGUGAUAGGAACUGUUCAUUCGGGAAAAUUGCAAACAACUAAAUACCCCUCACCAGGAGCUGGCCCAUUAUAGCAACUCUGAGACCUCUCUACCGCAGGCUCUUAAAAUGGGACACCGCCGCCCGCCCCUCGGGCACCGGACACAGGCGCGGCUGAGGACUGACGGCCCCCUGGAAGCCACUCGGGAGUCCUAGAUUUUGCUGAAGGAAGAAGGGGCUGGAGAAAAUAAAAGGGCAGGAGUCUGGAGUGUGAUAACUGUGGCUUCGUCUCAUUUCCACCCGCCAAGACUAAAACUUCCCUCAUCUGCUCAGCGGGAAGAAACAGAAGUUCUUGGCCAUGGUGUGACAGUGACACCGAGAGAAGCCCGAUUCACUCCCAG
Molecule: long non-coding RNA, 844 nt
Filed under: Homo sapiens (human)
Lineage: Eukaryota; Metazoa; Chordata; Mammalia; Primates; Hominidae
Description: non-protein coding DLGAP4-AS1:12
Source: RNAcentral